This 253-nucleotide ribosomal RNA is filed under the name uncultured bacterium. Its description in RNAcentral is "partial 16S ribosomal RNA". It matches the Rfam family "Bacterial small subunit ribosomal RNA", at positions 524 to 776 of the family's 1533-position model. The record is from RNAcentral.
UACGUAGGUGGCAAGCGUUAUCCGGAUUUAUUGGGUGUAAAGGGCGUGUAGGCGGGAGCGCAAGUCAGAUGUGAAAACUCAGGGCUCAACCCUGAGCCUGCAUUUGAAACUGUGUUUCUUGAGUGCUGGGGAGGCAAUCGGAAUUCCGUGUGUAGCGGUGAAAUGCGUAGAUGUACGGAGGAACACCAGUGGCGAAGGCGGAUUGCUGGACAGUAACUGACGCUGAGGCGCGAAAGCGUGGGGAGCAAACAGG